Molecule: non-coding RNA, 76 nt
Organism: Spinacia oleracea (spinach)
Lineage: Eukaryota; Viridiplantae; Streptophyta; Magnoliopsida; Caryophyllales; Amaranthaceae
Source: Rfam
CUGUAGCCUAUGAUACUUGAUAAAUAUACUUUGAGUAGUAAAAUACCAUGAAACCACUUUCAAUCUGAGGCUUCUU